Molecule: long non-coding RNA, 307 nt
Organism: Leptinotarsa decemlineata (Colorado potato beetle)
Lineage: Eukaryota; Metazoa; Arthropoda; Insecta; Coleoptera; Chrysomelidae
Source: RefSeq, a predicted model, not a curated record
CGAGAUCCAAAGUCAGUCUGGUACAAGUCAUGAAUAUCUUAUAUAACUUCAUUUUGAUUGCCCAAAAUUACAUUCUAAUAAGGAGAAAAUGUUUGAUAUUUGUUGAUUCAAGUGGAGAAUCAUCAUAAUUAUUUUGGUUGAUGGUGGUGGUUAUCAUUAGAAUUAUCUUCAAGAAUAACAAAACCGGCAAUCAAAAUUAUUUUCAUCGAAAAAUAGCAUGAGAAAAAAAAUCCUAAGGAAUUGGAUGAAAUAUCUAAAGAAGAAUUAUAUUUUCAAAAAAUAUUUACAAAUCCAAAACUGAAUUCGC